UACGAAGGACCCGAGCGUUAUCCGGAUUCAUUGGGUUUAAAGGGUGCGUAGGUGGGCCCAUAAGUCAGUGGUGAAAGCCCUUCGCUUAACGAAGGAAUUGCCAUUGAUACUGUGGGUCUUGAGUACAGUUGAGGUGGGCGGAAUGUGUCAUGUAGCGGUGAAAUGCUUAGAUAUGACACAGAACACCGAUUGCGAAGGCAGCUCGCUAAACUGUAACUGACACUGAGGCACGAAAGCGUGGGUAGCAAACAGG
RNAcentral lists this ribosomal RNA (253 nucleotides) under uncultured bacterium. Its description in RNAcentral is "partial 16S ribosomal RNA". It matches the Rfam family "Bacterial small subunit ribosomal RNA", at positions 524 to 776 of the family's 1533-position model. The record is from RNAcentral.